CAGGCCCACGGUCUGUUCUCGCCGCUACUGCUGCAGAGCCGAGCCCUCGCUGAGCGCACGGGAUCCACCUGGCAGCAGGAAGGAGCCGAACUCGCCACGGGAGCAGCAGCCCCUGCGAGAGCUGCACGACCCACCUCACCCGCGAGCGGGCCGGGCACCAAGGAGCGUGCCAGCUCCCCGGACGCCGGCCCGUCGAGGCACCUUCUCCACGCCAGGACGCGCCGAGGUGCUCAGGAGCGGGCCCCGUGCCACCACAGCAGGUCCGACGCGGCGGGCACCACGCUGCUGGGGUGCACGGUGCUCGCUGUCUCCCCUGCACCGUGGCUUCCCCACCUGGCACGGCGCUGGGGGCUCCCCUCGCUGCCCCGAGGGAGGGAUAAAAGCGUGGGGAGCCCGCUCUGGGGCACGGCUGGGGUCUGCCGCGGGGCGAGCCAAGCCCGGCGGCGGGGCCCCCAGCAGAAGGCAGGCUGGACCGCAGCAAACUUUCCGGGUGGGCGAGGAGGGCAGCCUCCACCGAGCCCACGGAGCGGGGUCUCCGCCUCUCCCUCCUCCAGGCAGCGCACAGCCGGCCCCGCACACCUCCCCUCCUCCACCGCCGCCCCAAAAUCGCCUCCCGGGCGGCGGGCCGGGGGGGGGGGGGGGCCCCCACCUCCCCCCGGGCGGGCGGCACUAGCGCGGCGCGCCCGCGGCGGCCCGCAUCGCCGCCGCGCUGGGCCGGACCGGGCCCGCCCGGCUGCGGGCGGCGGCGGCGCCUCCCCGCUCAGCUCCUGCCGCCGCCUCCUCUUCUUCCUCCUCCUCCUCCUCCUGCGCCCGGCCCCGCCGCCUCCAUUUCCUCCCGCCGCCGGCAAGCCCCGGCCCCGCCGCGGGGAUGGGGAGGAAGGCGGAGGCCGGCUCGGCCCCGCUCCGAGGAGCCGCAGCGCCGCUCCCGGCCGCCCCGGGGCGGAGGCAGCAGGGAGGGACGGAUGCGCCGCUCGCCUCGCCCCGCCUCGCCUGGCCCCGGCGGGCUCCGGGCGCCGCGGCCUGGUGGCUCGGCCCGGCCGGCUUUCGGCGCUCGCAGGGCGGUCGGGGCUCGUCCCCGGGGCCCUAAAGCCGACAGGCAGGUGGGCUGGCGUGUAUUUACCAAUCUGGUCUUCAGAAAGGGUCUUGGACGCGCCUCUAGCGGUCGCGUCUCAAAACAGGCAGCUGAAAAUAGGACCUCUGCGCGCCCGCAGGGCUUCACUACCCCCGAGUGCCAUCAAAACACCGAGGGGGCCAGGCCUUCUGAAGGAAGCGGUGGUACCGGAGCAAAGCCACCUCGUUUGGUGCUCCUUGGAUACUCAUGCACCUUCCAGUGUGAAAUCAUGGCAUGACACCAAGGACAGGCCCCAAGAGACGUGCUCCUGCUAUCUGACCCAGCACAAAAGCGGUCAUGUCCCCUCCGUCCAGUCAAAUAAGAAUCGAUUUGUCUGCUGGGAACUGGUAAACGAAAUGAGGGACACACGGAAACCCCAUCUUUAA
This 1497-nucleotide long non-coding RNA is filed under the name Anser brachyrhynchus (Pink-footed goose). RNAcentral's name for it is "lncRNA (ENSABRG00000011235.1)". The record is from RNAcentral. Lineage: Eukaryota; Metazoa; Chordata; Aves; Anseriformes; Anatidae.